UGGGGAAUAUUGGACAAUGGGCGCAAGCCUGAUCCAGCCAUGCCGCGUGAGUGAUGAAGGCCUUAGGGUUGUAAAGCUCUUUCGCCGGUGAAGAUAAUGACGGUAACCGGUAAAGAAGCCCCGGCUAACUUCGUGCCAGCAGCCGCGGUAAUACGAAGGGGGCUAGCGUUGUUCGGAAUUACUGGGCGUAAAGCGCACGUAGGCUGACUUUUAAGUCAGGGGUGAAAUCCCGGGGCUCAACCUCGGAACUGCCUUUGAUACUGGAAGUCUUGAGUCCGAGAGAGGUGAGUGGAACUCCGAGUGUAGAGGUGAAAUUCGUAGAUAUUCGGAAGAACACCAGUGGCGAAGGCGGCUCACUGGCUCGGUACUGACGCUGAGGUGCGAAAGCGUGGGGAGCAAACA
Molecule: ribosomal RNA, 402 nt
Filed under: uncultured Hyphomicrobiaceae bacterium
Lineage: Bacteria; Pseudomonadati; Pseudomonadota; Alphaproteobacteria; Hyphomicrobiales; Hyphomicrobiaceae
Description: bacterial SSU rRNA
Rfam family: Bacterial small subunit ribosomal RNA
Source: RNAcentral